Molecule: ribosomal RNA, 656 nt
Filed under: Burkholderia sp. UFLA01-731
Lineage: Bacteria; Pseudomonadati; Pseudomonadota; Betaproteobacteria; Burkholderiales; Burkholderiaceae
Description: bacterial SSU rRNA
Rfam family: Bacterial small subunit ribosomal RNA
Source: RNAcentral
ACAUGUCCAGUAGUGGGGGAUAGCCCGGCGAAAGCCGGAUUAAUACCGCAUACGAUCUUUGGAUGAAAGCGGGGGAUCGCAAGACCUCGCGCUAUUGGGGUGGCCGAUGGCGGAUUAGCUAGUUGGUGGGGUAAAGGCCCACCAAGGCGACGAUCCGUAGCUGGUCUGAGAGGACGACCAGCCACACUGGGACUGAGACACGGCCCAGACUCCUACGGGAGGCAGCAGUGGGGAAUUUUGGACAAUGGGCGAAAGCCUGAUCCAGCAAUGCCGCGUGUGUGAAGAAGGCCUUCGGGUUGUAAAGCACUUUUGUCCGGAAAGAAAUCCUGGUGGCUAAUAUCCGCCGGGGAUGACGGUACCGGAAGAAUAAGCACCGGCUAACUACGUGCCAGCAGCCGCGGUAAUACGUAGGGUGCGAGCGUUAAUCGGAAUUACUGGGCGUAAAGCGUGCGCAGGCGGUGAUGUAAGACCGAUGUGAAAUCCCCGGGCUUAACCUGGGAACUGCAUUGGUGACUGCAUCGCUGGAGUAUGGCAGAGGGGGGUAGAAUUCCACGUGUAGCAGUGAAAUGCGUAGAGAUGUGGAGGAAUACCGAUGGCGAAGGCAGCCCCCUGGGCCAAUACUGACGCUCAUGCACGAAAGCGUGGGGAGCAAACAG